RNAcentral lists this ribosomal RNA (410 nucleotides) under uncultured microorganism. RNAcentral describes it as "bacterial SSU rRNA". It matches the Rfam family "Bacterial small subunit ribosomal RNA", at positions 9 to 416 of the family's 1533-position model. The record is from RNAcentral.
GAGUUUGAUCCUGGCUCAGAUUGAACGCUGGCGGCAUGCCUUACACAUGCAAGUCGAACGGCAGCAUGAUCUAGCUCGCUAGAUUGAUGGCGAGUGGCGAACGGGUGAGUAAUACAUCGGAACGUGCCCUGUAGUGGGGGAUAACUAGUCGAAAGAUUAGCUAAUACCGCAUACGACCUGAGGGUGAAAGUGGGGGACCGCAAGGCCUCAUGCUAUAGGAGCGGCCGAUGUCUGAUUAGCUAGUUGGUGGGUAAAGGCCCACCAAGGCGACGAUCAGUAGCUGGUCUGAGAGGACGAUCAGCCACACUGGGACUGAGACACGGCCCAGACUCCUACGGGAGGCAGCAGUGGGGAAUUUUGGACAAUGGGCGAAAGCCUGAUCCAGCAAUGCCGCGUGUGUGAAGAAGGCC